This 215-nucleotide long non-coding RNA is filed under the name Capsella rubella. Its description in RNAcentral is "long non-coding RNA (CRUB_LNC002212)". Lineage: Eukaryota; Viridiplantae; Streptophyta; Magnoliopsida; Brassicales; Brassicaceae. The record is from RNAcentral.
GAGGAGGAGCUUGAAUAUAAGAUUGCCCUUGGUUUGUGAAUUGGGGACUUGGUUGAAAUCCUUGCUCUUGUUGAACUUGGAAUAAUCUCUCUUGUGAAUAUCUCCAUGUAUAUUGUCUCCAGAGAUGAUUGAUCACAUAUCUCAAUGCAUCUUUGAUUGCUUUCGGCCAAAUCCUCAACAAGUAACUCUCCUUGUUCGAUAGUGAAAUUUUAAAA